CUGCAACCCGCCUGCAUGAAGUCGGAAUUGCUAGUAAUCGCGGAUCAGCAUGCCGCGGUGAAUACGUUCCCGGGCCUUGUACACACCGCCCGUCACACCAUGAGAGCCGGGGGACCCGAAGUCCGUAGCCUAACCGCAAGGGGGGCGCGGCCGAAGGUAAAACUGGUGAUUGGGGUGAAGUCGUAACAAGGUACC
RNAcentral lists this ribosomal RNA (195 nucleotides) under uncultured bacterium. RNAcentral describes it as "partial 16S ribosomal RNA". It matches the Rfam family "Bacterial small subunit ribosomal RNA", at positions 1305 to 1500 of the family's 1533-position model. The record is from RNAcentral.